Molecule: ribosomal RNA, 253 nt
Filed under: uncultured bacterium
Lineage: Bacteria
Description: partial 16S ribosomal RNA
Rfam family: Bacterial small subunit ribosomal RNA
Source: RNAcentral
UACGGGGGGAGCAAGCGUUGUUCGGAUUUACUGGGCGUAAAGGGCGCGUAGGCGGCGCAACAAGUCACUUGUGAAAUCUCCGGGCUUAACCCGGAGCGGCCAAGUGAUACUGUCGGGCUAGAGUGCGGAAGAGGCGAGUGGAAUUCCUGGUGUAGCGGUGAAAUGCGCAGAUAUCAGGAGGAACACCUAUUGCGAAGGCAGCUCGCUGGGACGUAACUGACGCUGAGACGCGAAAGCGUGGGGAGCAAACAGG